This 231-nucleotide ribosomal RNA is filed under the name uncultured bacterium. RNAcentral's name for it is "partial 16S ribosomal RNA". It matches the Rfam family "Bacterial small subunit ribosomal RNA", at positions 336 to 563 of the family's 1533-position model. The record is from RNAcentral.
CUCCUACGGGAGGCAGCAGUGAGGAAUAUUGGUCAAUGGGUUUACGCCUGAACCAGCCAAGUCGCGUGAGGGAAGACUGCCCUAUGGGUUGUAAACCUCUUUUGUCAGGGGGCAGUUGGCGCUACGUGUAGCGUUAUCGAGAGUACCUGAAGAAAAAGCAUGGGCUAACUCCGUGCCAGCAGCCGCGGGAAUACGGAGGAUGCGAGCGUGAUCCGGUAUUAUUGGGUUUAA